GGAGUAGCUCAGUUGGUAGAGCGCAACCUUGCCAAGGUUGAGGUCGCGAGUUCGAGACUCGUCUCCCGCUCCA
This 73-nucleotide transfer RNA is filed under the name Sutterella sp. RNAcentral describes it as "tRNA-Gly". It matches the Rfam family "tRNA". Rfam says of the family: Transfer RNA (tRNA) molecules are approximately 80 nucleotides in length. Their secondary structure includes four short double-helical elements and three loops (D, anti-codon, and T loops). Further hydrogen bonds mediate the characteristic L-shaped molecular structure. tRNAs have two regions of fundamental functional importance: the anti-codon, which is responsible for specific mRNA codon recognition, and the 3' end, to which the tRNAs corresponding amino acid is attached (by aminoacyl-tRNA synthetases). tRNAs cope with the degeneracy of the genetic code in two manners: having more than one tRNA (with a specific anti-codon) for a particular amino acid; and 'wobble' base-pairing, i.e. permitting non-standard base-pairing at the 3rd anti-codon position. Lineage: Bacteria; Pseudomonadati; Pseudomonadota; Betaproteobacteria; Burkholderiales; Sutterellaceae. The record is from RNAcentral.